This 477-nucleotide long non-coding RNA is filed under the name Rattus norvegicus (Norway rat). Its description in RNAcentral is "long non-coding RNA NONRATT009743". The record is from RNAcentral. Lineage: Eukaryota; Metazoa; Chordata; Mammalia; Rodentia; Muridae.
UGUGUGCAGAGAGCAGUCUCUUCUGGUUUCCCAGGCUUGUCUGCCUCUCUGAAGGUUCAGCUCUCCCUCCCACGGGAUUUGGGUGCAGAGAACUGUUUAUCCGGUCUGUUUCCUUCAGGGUCCGGCGGUGUCUCUGGCAGGUGUCCUGCCGCUCCUGGGCCCUCCCCCACGGGAGCCCAGAGGCCUUAUACAGUUUCCUCUUGGGCCAGGGAUGUGGGCAGGGGUGAGCAGUGUUGGUGGUCUCUUCCGCUCUGCAGCCUCAGGAGUGCCCACCUGACCAGGCGGUUGGGUCUCUCUCGAGAUUUUGUUUUCUUACUGGGAAGAAACUAUGCUGACAUCAACCAUGCACCAUGCAGAAUAUGCCCCGUGACACAGCUCUUUCCAGAGACUUGUUUGUGACCCCGGGAAUUGGUAAGGGGCGAGAGGGAUGGGUAGAAGCACUUUUCUAUUCUGUUAUAAAAACCCAUUUGUACUUUA